Molecule: ribosomal RNA, 443 nt
Filed under: uncultured bacterium
Lineage: Bacteria
Description: partial 16S ribosomal RNA
Rfam family: Bacterial small subunit ribosomal RNA
Source: RNAcentral
CCUACGGGUGGCUGCAGUGGGGAAUAUUGGGCAAUGGGCGCAAGCCUGACCCAGCAACGCCGCGUGAAGGAAGAAGGCUUUCGGGUUGUAAACUUCUUUUGUCAGGGACGAAGCAAGUGACGGUACCUGACUAAUAAGCCACGGCUAACUACGUGCCAGCAGCCGCGGUAAUACGUAGGUGGCAAGCGUUAUCCGGAUUUACUGGGUUUAAAGGGCGUGUAGGCGGGACUGUAAGUCAGAUGUGAAAAGCACGGGCUCAACCUGUGGCCUGCAGUUGAAACUGUAGUUCUUGAGUACUGGGGAGGCAGACGGAAUUCGUAGUGUAGCGGUGAAAUGCGUAGAUAUUAGGAGGAACACCAGUGGCGAAGGCGGUCUGCUGGACAGCAACUGACGCUGAGGCGCGAAAGCGUGGGGAGCAAACAGGAUUAGAUACCCGAGUAGUC